RNAcentral lists this unclassified non-coding RNA (241 nucleotides) under Hevea brasiliensis (rubber tree). The record is from RNAcentral. Lineage: Eukaryota; Viridiplantae; Streptophyta; Magnoliopsida; Malpighiales; Euphorbiaceae.
GUUCUUAUUGUUUAGCUGCUAAAGUCUGUAUUGUGUUGGCUUCGGCUUCACAAUGCUACCUUAAUCAGUGUUUUGAAAGGCGCACGCUAGGCGCAAGGGGCAACAGAGGCUGCGCCUCUGACCAGGGGAGGCGAGUGCCCUCAUCCAGGGGCACCCGGGCACAGCAAGGAGCAAGACACGCCUAGGCACGCUCAAAUGAGGUGAGGCAGGCCUAUAAAAGGGCAUAAAAACAGAACCCUAA